CAGGAGAGCAAGUUCCAGGACUCAAGCACAGGCAAGGUGCACGACAGUGUUCCUUUAAGUUGUGAACACUUACAUUCAUCAAUACAUGCUCGAAAAUCAAGUUCCAAGUCAAAAAUGGUGAAAGACUGGAGAUAAAAGAUGAGCUUGGAGGAAUUAACUUACUCAGCAAUUACAUAAAAUGCAAGUGCCCUGGUUCUAAGAGCCAGGGUACACAAGUGCCACUGAUCGGCUCUCACCAUUAAUUCUUAUAGCUAUAAGAACUUUGUAUAACUCAUGUUCUGCCAUGGGGAUACCCAUCGGUCUCCGAGUUGGGCUCUCGGUCUCGUCACCAUCAGACUCCUUGGAAAACAGAGAUGAAGGAGGAUAUCAAGCCCUUAGCUACACUCCCAGACACUAAGAAACUGGUUCAAUUGCCAAUUCUAGACCCAUAAAAUCAACUCUGUGGUUGGGUGUCUCACACUCACAUCUUCUAGCAGCCGUCCUUCUACUCGAAGCUCCCAGGAGGCCACAGUUCCUUCACCAUCCUCUGCAUCCGACUUGGCUGGAUUGAAGGUAUUGGAGAUAAAAAUGCGUAGCUUUCGCUUUUGCUUAAUGGGUCGUUUCAAAGCCUCCUGGAUAUCCAAGCGUUUCCUCAUGAUCGUCUGGUCCAAUUUCCUUUCAAAGGCCAGCAGGUCCAUAUAAGCUUGAGACUCAGGCACAAGUUCACGAAUCCUCUGAGGUAGAAUUUUGUCUGCCAUCUUCUUCUUUUUAGCAUUGUGGUUGCGGUUGGGCACUGCCUGGGGCUGCACCUGCUGCAGCUGCUGCGGCGCGGGCCUCUUGCGGGCCUGGUCCAGGCCGGCCUGCGCCAUGCCGGGCCGCACUGCCGGGCUCCCGCCGUACCCGGGCGGCCCCAUGGAGGGGCCCUGCGGCGCCAGGCGGCUGCCCGGUAACAUCCCGGGGCGCGGGUAGGCGGCCCCCGGCAGCGGCGAGCGGUAUAGGCCCUGUCCCGGGGCCGGGCCCAUGCGCACCGGCCCGCCUGGCGUGCCCGGUCCCAGCGCUCCGGCCCCGGCAGCGGCCCCGCCGCCGCCACCGCUGGGAGUCACCGACUGGAAGCCCGCCCGCGCCGCCAUCUUCUCCAGCACAAAGAGGAGCGGGCCGGAACCGGAGCUCUGACAUAGAGAGCGCGCGGACACCGCCGUAGAGCGGCACCGUCUGCAGAGAGCGCCCUCUGCCGGCGGGAGGAGCUGCCGGUGGGCACUCAUCCUCGUGGUUGUUCGUAGAGCAGAGGGACCUGCAUCCAGCCUGCAUUAAUCCAUGAACAAAAACCAAGAGAGCAGUCACACCGCGAGCCUCAAGGUCAGAUCCCAGCCCCAUCUUUAAAAGCUUUAACGGGUGAAAAAGGAAGAAAAUAAAUACAUGAAAUGCAGUGAAACGUUAGGAAAAAUCCAUAAGAAAAUUUAUGGAUGCGGCCGACCUUUUGUCUUUGGGUGAUUGCUGGGUAACAAAGGGCUGACCCCCAGUUCCUAAUUUUGGUCAGGAAGCAAACAAUAAU
Molecule: long non-coding RNA, 1531 nt
Filed under: Gallus gallus (chicken)
Lineage: Eukaryota; Metazoa; Chordata; Aves; Galliformes; Phasianidae
Source: RNAcentral